This 116-nucleotide non-coding RNA is filed under the name Peptoclostridium litorale. Its description in RNAcentral is "Clostridium litorale Glycine sequence". It matches the Rfam family "Glycine riboswitch aptamer". From Rfam's summary of the family: This family represents the bacterial glycine riboswitch. Glycine riboswitches usually consist of two metabolite-binding aptamers domains with similar structures in tandem. Lineage: Bacteria; Bacillati; Bacillota; Clostridia; Peptostreptococcales; Peptoclostridiaceae. The record is from RNAcentral. RNAcentral also lists the same sequence under 1 other name.
AAGAAGGGUAUGCGAGAGAGCUGGCAGGUUUGAAUUUGCCGGCCGCCGAAGGGACAAGUCUUUAUUUUACCAAAAUACAAGAUGAAAUUCUCAGGCAGAAGGAUCAUAUCUGGACA